Molecule: ribosomal RNA, 1333 nt
Filed under: Gelasimus borealis
Lineage: Eukaryota; Metazoa; Arthropoda; Malacostraca; Decapoda; Ocypodidae
Description: 16S ribosomal RNA
Rfam family: Bacterial large subunit ribosomal RNA (bases 887-1270)
Source: RNAcentral
GAUGAACUAAUAUCUUGUUAAGAAUUUUGUAAACGGAAAAAUUAAAUAGGAAAAAUAAUUUUAAUAAGUGAGAAAAAGUAAUUUUUAAUAAAACUCCAUUUUAACCAUAGAUCAUAAGUACUGAGAAGGAAAGUAUAAGUUCACAUAUUGGAAUAUAGUAAAUAUAAAAAUUUGUAUCUUGUGUAUUAGAGAAGAUUUAUAUAAUUUAAUUAAUUUAAUUUUCUCGAAAUAAAUGUAGCUAAUUAAAAAUACUAGUUUUUGUAGAAGACAAAUUUGUAAUUUUUAGUUAAGGGUGAAAUAUCAAUCGAAAUUUAUUAUAUCUAGUUUUUCUUGAAUGAAUUCAAUUCUUUCUUUUUGGGUACAAAACUUAAAGUUUAAAUGUAGGAGGGAUUAGCUUCUUAUAAAUAUAAAGUAAAAAAUAGUUUAAUGUAAAAAUAUUCUGAGUUAGGCUUAAAAGUGGUUAUUUUAGUAAAGUGUUUCAACUAAGUUAACAGUUGGUUAAAAAUUUAUAUUAACUUUCGUUUCUAGGGGAAAAUAAUUUAAAAUAAGGUAUGUUUAGAUAUAAUGAUUUUAUUAGUAUAAGCUUGUAUUAUUCUAAAAGGAUAUUUAAUAAAAUAAAGAUUAAUAUCUAAUGAGUAAAAAUAUAAACAUAAAGGAACUCGGCAAAUAAUUUCUUUGCCUGUUUAUCAAAAACAUGUCUAUUUGUAGGUAUAUAAAGUCUGGCCUGCCCACUGAUAUUAUUAAAGGGCCGCGGUAAUUUGACCGUGCAAAGGUAGCAUAAUCGUUAGUUCCUUAAUUGGGAUCUUGUAUGAACGGUCGGACAAGAGAAUGACUGUCUCUAUGUUUUUGUUGAAUUUAACUUUUAAGUGAAAAGGCUUAAAUAUUUUAGAAAGACGAUAAGACCCUAUAAAGCUUAAUAAGUUAGAGUAUUUAGCUGAGUUAAUAAAUAAAAGUUUAAUGUGAAAGACUUAUUUUGUUGGGGCGACAAUGAUAAAAUGUUUGUUAACUGUUUAAAAUAAGAAACAAAAUUUUAUGUUUGAAGAAUAAAGUAUAAAUGAUCCUUUAAUAAAGAUUAAAAGUUUAAGUUACUUUAGGGAUAACAGCGUUAUUUUUUUUGAGAGUUCAUAUCGAAAAAAAAGUUUGCGACCUCGAUGUUGAAUUAAAAUUUCUAUAUAGUUGCAGCAGCUAUAUAAGAAGGUCUGUUCGACCUUUAAAUUUUUACAUGAUUUGAGUUCAGACCGGCGUGAGCCAGGUCGGUUUCUAUCUUUUAAUUAUUUAGGAGUUACUUUAGUACGAAAGGAUUAAGUAACUAAAAUUAUUUUUUAGGUUGAUA